UACGUAGGGUGCGAGCGUUGUCCGGAAUUAUUGGGCGUAAAGAGCUCGUAGGCGGCUUGUCACGUCGGAUGUGAAAGCCCGGGGCUUAACCCCGGGUCUGCAUUCGAUACGGGCAGGCUAGAGUGUGGUAGGGGAGAUCGGAAUUCCUGGUGUAGCGGUGAAAUGCGCAGAUAUCAGGAGGAACACCGGUGGCGAAGGCGGAUCUCUGGGCCAUUACUGACGCUGAGGAGCGAAAGCUAGGGGAGCAAACGGG
This 253-nucleotide ribosomal RNA is filed under the name uncultured bacterium. Its description in RNAcentral is "partial 16S ribosomal RNA". It matches the Rfam family "Bacterial small subunit ribosomal RNA", at positions 524 to 776 of the family's 1533-position model. The record is from RNAcentral.